RNAcentral lists this small RNA (650 nucleotides) under Porites lobata. Its description in RNAcentral is "eukaryotic LSU rRNA". The stretch from base 241 to 394 matches the Rfam family "5.8S ribosomal RNA". Lineage: Eukaryota; Metazoa; Cnidaria; Anthozoa; Scleractinia; Poritidae. The record is from RNAcentral.
GGUGAACCUGCGGAAGGAUCAUUACCGAUGUGAAAGAAUCCAAGGUUAAACAUCAUUAACCAGUGUGAACUGUGAAACAACUCUUUAGGGGUCGGCACAGGCGUGUAUCGUUAAAUGGCGGAUAGGUUCCUUCCGCCAGCCCCGCCAUUGUGUUUAUGAUAUCACUUUGAACGUUUAAGACUGAGAACGUAUGUAUCAUGCAUUAAAUGUAUGAGAAAGAAGGAAAGAAAAAUGAGAGACAACUUUUGACGGUGGAUCUCUUGGCUCACGUAUCGAUGAAGAACGCAGCCAGCUGCGAUAUGUAGUGUGAAUUGCAGAAUUCAGUGAAUCAUUGAAUCUUUGAACGCAAAUGGCGCUCUUGGGUUCUCCCAGGAGCAUGUCUGUCUGAGUGUCGGAUUUUAUCGAACGCACUCGUGAGUGCGGUAUUGAGGUGUCACGGCGUGUUAGCAAGCAAGCAAGCAUUAAAUCGCCGUGUCCCUUGAAGGACAGCAGCAUUGGACUCGCAUUCUCUAUUGAAACUUGAGUGCGAAGGCUAAAGAUAAUAUUUUCCUUCGCCCAAACAUGCAAUAGCAGAAACAAAAUCCAAUCAAAGCGGUGAGUGACAAUAAACAUCAAAUCUUGACCUCAGAUCAGGCAAGGCUACCCGCUGA